GCUUAAUCUACACUUAGGAAGUCCAUGCAUUUUUGGCAUUAGGGGUGGAGCGGAAAAAUUAUUUUUGGAGCACUAAAAUAGCCUUUAAUUAGCCUUUAAUUAUGGCAUAGGUUAUAUGUUGAAACUCCUAUGUGGUCGCCCUAGGUUUUUCGACAUUCCUCACGGCGCUCUUUCCACGGGGACGCUGGCCGUAGUCACUCAGAGUUCCUGGGGUACCAAUAAUGGCAUCCCGAAGGUUCGGCACCCUUUGGCACGGGUUCUCAACUCAAAAUUGCCUUGUGCCACUGUCGCCGGUUGAUUAUUUUCCCUGUCUUCUCCACCGGAAAUCCGAACCCACGCAACCCUUAUGGGCGGAGGCCGAAGGCACCAUCUUGCCGAGGACGGUGCGUGGAGGUGGAGAUUUUGGUAACGGGUCAUCCUGAUGCCGCGUUAUACAUGAUCAUGCUACGCGCAAGAAGGCAACAACUUUACACAUGCUCUUGCCGUCCACUUGUCUAUUUUAAAGAUGUCCUAUUCUGUCUCUGAUAUACUAGAACAAUAAUGUUAAACACAAUGCACAGCAAAUACUCGAUAAGUAAAUUGAUAAAAAAAUAUUUAGCUAUUAUAAAUAGCACAAACCAUUGUCCAUAGUACAUGUUAUAUAUGUCAAGAUCAAAUAUUUAAUAGAACUGAAUGGAUUCUAAUUCUAAAUUCACAUGCAAAACAGGUAACAAUAUUAUUCUUUAUUCGUGUAAUCGAUAAUACCAAGACAACCCCUACGUUAAUCCCACUUGCAAAUAAUCGGGUAUUACAAGAAAAUUGCAAUGUACCACGUUUUAUUUAUUAGUCGACAAUUGCCGUAACAAAGGACUGCAGUGGGAGUAGUAUCCCAGAAAAAGAGACUCAGUACGUUAAAGAGUUUCACAAUGCACACUCUUCCCUUGUGUUUCAAGUUUAUGAAAGGUGGAGGUCUUUGGUGACCGACCAACUGUUAACGACUGGUGAAAUUUCUGUACAAUGGUUACAGUUUAAUAAUCAUUUGUAUACUGCAUACAUUCACAUUCUCUGAAAUCAUUGAUCUGUUCAUUAACCUCGGUGACGUUGAAGACUUCACAAACAAUUUCUUUUUGUUGUUGACAAUGAUAGGUAUUUGUUGUAAGGCAACAGACAUACUGGGAAGACGCCAACGGUUUAAAAGAUUAAUCAAUUUUUUAUUCGACGAAUUAUGUCAACCGUGCAAUGUUGACGAAGAGAAAAUACAAAAAAAAAUGUGCAGAAACUUGCAGGAAGACAACACGAAAUUAUGUCUUUGCUAUCCUGCUAACAGUGGUGUCAUUGACACUGUGCCCUCUAAUCAAUGGUUUCAAUGAUCCUGUAUUGUCAUUCAGAGGUUGGGAGCCAUACAGCCUGCAUCAAGGACCAAUUUUUGGCUAACUUCUUCAUCAAGCAUUGGUCUUUAAUGUUGCUGCAAUAAUCAGUGCAGCUUAUGAUACGCUGAUUCUUGUAUUAAUGACUCAGACCUGUGAACAGUUGGAUAUACUCAAAUUUAAACUGCAUAACUUACCUA
Cephus cinctus (wheat stem sawfly) is the source of this 1546-nucleotide long non-coding RNA. RefSeq lists it as uncharacterized. NCBI's taxonomy places the organism in Eukaryota, Metazoa, Arthropoda, Insecta, Hymenoptera, Cephidae. The record is from RefSeq and is a predicted model, not a curated record. The transcript has 4 exons.